This 28-nucleotide non-coding RNA is filed under the name Rattus norvegicus (Norway rat). Lineage: Eukaryota; Metazoa; Chordata; Mammalia; Rodentia; Muridae. The record is from RNAcentral.
UACCCUCCACAAACAAAUUGUCUCUGCU